UACAGAGGGGGCCAGCGUUGUUCGGAAUUACUGGGCGUAAAGGGCGCGUAGGCGGCCUUCUAAGUCGAACGUGAAAUCCCUGGGCUCAACCCAGGAACUGCGUCCGAUACUGGAAGGCUUGAAUCCGGGAGAGGGAUGCGGAAUUCCAGGUGUAGCGGUGAAAUGCGUAGAUAUCUGGAGGAACACCGGUGGCGAAGGCGGCAUCCUGGACCGGUAUUGACGCUGAGGCGCGAAAGCCAGGGGAGCAAACGGG
This 253-nucleotide ribosomal RNA is filed under the name uncultured bacterium. RNAcentral describes it as "partial 16S ribosomal RNA". It matches the Rfam family "Bacterial small subunit ribosomal RNA", at positions 524 to 776 of the family's 1533-position model. The record is from RNAcentral.